RNAcentral lists this long non-coding RNA (2993 nucleotides) under Homo sapiens (human). RNAcentral's name for it is "HSALNT0301357". The record is from RNAcentral. Lineage: Eukaryota; Metazoa; Chordata; Mammalia; Primates; Hominidae.
GUUCCCCGGCUUUGCCGCGCGGAGGAAGUCCCGGUUACGCAGAGCGCGCUGGGGCAGGGCUGACCUUCCCCUUUCUCUACUUCACUGGCCUCCUCCAGACGUGGUGGUUGCGCCCUUUCGGCCUCGCUUUCCGUUUUUUGGCUUCAUCCCCUAGAUCUGCAAACAGUUCCUCGUGUUUCUUCCGUUAGCCGGGAAACGCGAACUGCAGCGUUUGGGACCCGGGUUUGCGCGUGUGGAAAGCAAAAGGGGUUACUCUGCUGGAGUUCGACAUUGCAAAUAAAGGUCUUUAUCCCCGGCGGUUCUACAAAAUUAGUUCUGCAGGGAUUCUGGUUGAAAGAAGCGUUAAAGUGGGCCUUGUAGGAGUCAGCAAUAAUCCAAUUUUACAUGGGUGCAGGUGGCUGCCUGUGUCUAGCGCUUUCACACAUCUCAUAUCUUCAUCCACGCCGUGGGUAUUUUUUUUCCACGGUGUGUUUCUGUUGCUGCCUCCAGUAUAUUGCUUAAUCAUCCUACCUGGUAAUUAUUUAUGCAUUUUUCUCCUACUCUCGACUCAGCUCCUAGGGAAUAAAAACACAUUAACUUAUCUUUGUGCCCACAGCACCCACCAAGUAUUUCCAUCACGUAAUACUGCCUCUAGAAAGGCAGGAGGAGAAGCAGUCACGCUAAGGAUCUAGGCAAGCCAGAUCUUUUGUCCGGUUUUAGGAGGUGGCCAGCCCUUACUUAUUCCACAAGUGUUUUUCCAGAAACUCAGACUUGAUAUUGCCUCAAGUCCAAGGCAGUGUGCUUCCCCCACUCACAUAUCACUAAUAGUAGCUAACAUUUGUUCAGAUCCCUGUAUGUACUCUGCCACUGUUUUAAAUGUUACACCCGGGUUACCUCAUUUAAUCCUUACAACUGCCCUGUGAGGUAGGUACUAUUAUUAUCUCUACUUUGUAGAUGGGAUUCACCGAGGCACAGACGGUUAAAAAACCUAGCCCAAAUAACACAAAUAAACAGCAGAGCAUGCAGUGCUAGAGUCUGCAUUCUUAACAAUUGCUAUAUUCUCCCUCUCCGUGAAUGUGGGCUGAGAUGCUGAAACAGGCAUGUGCUGUGGGGGAGAAAAAGCUUUGUCCAACCAAGUGCUUUCUAAUGUCCAGAUGACAUAGAGCUAGGAUUUCCUAAUGUCUUUUUUCCCCUAUUUUUCUCUCCAUUUCAGGGUUGAGUUUGUGCAUCGAUUGUGAACACAACAGGCAGCAGGCUAUAAUGGUGGUCCUGGCUGGAGUAGUUUUCACAGACUUCAGUAAUCUGUGGAGAUGAACGGGCAGUUCUCUGUAGUUUUCACAGAUCACUGCCAGUUCGUUUUGAGGCCUUCAGGAGUGAAGACCUGGCUCAUCAUCACUCUUUGUUGUUUUGUUAAAUUUAUUUACACCCUACUUUAUUCCAGAGGAAAGGAUUUAACGUAGUUUACAUAAAUGUGUACAUCAGGGUAAAUUAAAAAUAAGUACAGAGAAAAAUAGGACAAAAGAAAACCGUGAGUGUGAAAGAUAAGAUUAAGCCAGCAGUUUUGUAUGCAAAAUGCAUGGUGUAAGGUCCUAUUGGUUUGCUGGAGGUAGGCCACACAUAUGACUCUCAGUUUUCUAGCAACCAAGAAAAAGAUCAGUUGCAAUCGGAGUAGGUGUUUUGGCUAAGCUGGAACUAGGACUUGAAUAUAGCAGCUUGUAGAGUUAUACCACUUGCCCAAAUCUCUUCCAUGAGCCUCUUUAAGUGUAACAGAAUGCCUGGGAGCACGUAAAUGCUCCUACUUAGAUGCCUACUUAGCCUCUAAUUUUCAUGGGGCCCAUGAAUCCCAUGAAAAAGAACUUUGAACCCUGUCCACAAUUAGAGUUCAGGUAUACGCAGACAUGUUUAAAGACAAGGGACACCCAAAGGAAAGAUUGCACAGAGAGAAAGUGAGCAUCCGAGAGAAAAUCACCACAAGUGAGGCAGAGGGAGGCCGGUCUCAGCAGAGUUUUGGAGGUCGUGAGAAGAAGAGGUAGGAGAUAGGAGAGUGGUUCCGAGUACUUGCCUGCUGAUGUUACCUUCUCCACCCCCACCAGGUUUUCCAGUGCCUGGAGUCUUGGGCAGGAAUGGGCCACUGUAAGAAAGAGCUUUAUCACUAGGGCCUCAGCCAACUUUUCUGUGGGAUAUCCCUCCAAAAUAAUUAAGAGUUCAGAAUGCUUCAGAUUUUGAAGUGAAACUGGUACAUAUAUUAAGUGUUACUUAAUAACCCGAUAGUUUCUAGGGCAGCUCACCAUAAUCCCAAGUAUUAGCCACCACCCUCACCCCCUUCAGAGUAAAAUGUGUUUCCUGAAGGAAGUUGGGAAAAUGAAGAAAAAAAAUACAAAAAUCACCUAUAAUCUUACCAGUCAUAGAUGGCAGUUUUCCUGUCUUAUUUCUGAAUAAUGGUUGUUAAACAUUUGCCAGCACACCAUAAGGCUUAGGGAGGCAUCUGGGUCAUGCAUGUUAAUAUCCUUGGGUAAUUCCAGAAAUCUCUAUGAAGGGAAACUCCUGUUAUUUAUCUAGACUUCCUGAUUGCAAGGGGUUUGGGCAUCAUGAUUUAGGGGUCUUAAUAAAAUUAUUAUUUUAUUUUUACUAAUAGAUAAUGUCUGUGCCUAUCAGAUAAAGGCAAACCAGUGCUCAGAGGAACCCAACCAUCUCUGAAUUGAGACCAGAGAGCUGUCUCUAUGGAUAGUCCUUAGAGAAGGCAUUUCGGAACACAGUAAACAGCAGCCUGGUGACUCCGAUUACAGGGCCAGUUGCCUUUGUUACAAUAAAAGCAAGUCAUCUACACAGAUUUUUCCUACCAGGAAGAGCAUGUGCUGACCAACAGACAUGAAUUUCAGCCUGGUAGUUACAACAUUCACAGUAUACCCACAUCACUAAGCUGGGAGGCACAUUUUGAGACCCAGAAUCCUGACACCUCCAUGCCUUCAAAAGGGAGUUUCACUCGUUGCCCAGGCUGGAGUGCAACGGCGCGA